RNAcentral lists this unclassified non-coding RNA (929 nucleotides) under Hevea brasiliensis (rubber tree). Lineage: Eukaryota; Viridiplantae; Streptophyta; Magnoliopsida; Malpighiales; Euphorbiaceae. The record is from RNAcentral.
CAAUCUUCGAAUUCUGAAGCAUUCUAACAUUCCAAAUUAUGGGUUUGGCCUCCGCUAACACUUCCAGUGAAGGCAUGCAACUUUGUGUAUUUGAUUUGAGAAGAGGGCAACUUGAAGGGCAAGAGCUGGAUAAGAUCCUUUUCUUUUUCCCUGCUGAUUUGCCCUUCUCUACCCAACUUUCCGUCAUAGGACUCAGUGAAGGACUCAUCACCUUUACAAGAAUUUUCUCUCCAGAAGCAGCUUGCGAGGUCCAUUCUCAUGUAUUUUACGAGGCAGAGCCGGACAUCUGGAUGGUGAUGGUAGUGGAGAAAAGUAAGGGGCUGGAAGUCAUAUGGCGGAUAGAUGCAUUACGAGAGGUUCUCAAGGAAGUUCACUCUCUUUUCAUGAUGUUUAAUGGGUCUAUAAGAGCUAUGCUUGAGAGAGAACCUAGUGGAGGAGUAAUUCGAUCUCAUCUAUACCCUUUCAUAAUGGAUUAUCUGAGUGAUUUUCUUGUUGGGAAGAAACUCCAAUUACCAUCAUUUCGUGACUGUUUAACGGAGCGUGGAACUGUUCAGAUGUUGACUGUUGGGAGAGAAGCUGCAAUUGAAGUUCAGUCACUUGUCAGGGUACUAGAGUCUUGUGCUGGGGCCACACCUUGCCAUUCACUGAUUUUCUUUCAGGACCUGCUUGUCUCCACAACAGUUUCUCCUGAUGACACCAUAAAUUUAUUUACAUAUGCGGUUCUGAGGUUGACUCCUCGUGCUUUAUCCUCUGGGGCAAGUUCAUGGUCAUACUUACGCAAAGGAAGCACUGCAUCUCAUGUUGCUGCAGGGUCUACACUGGCCCAAUCUGCUUCUGUUUCAGAACAUUUAUAUCGCUCACAUGAUAACUCUCCUGGUCGGGAUGACAGUUACCAUGUUAAGAGACCCUUACAGCAUGACAAGUGGGCU